Molecule: long non-coding RNA, 3266 nt
Organism: Podarcis raffonei (Aeolian wall lizard)
Lineage: Eukaryota; Metazoa; Chordata; Lepidosauria; Squamata; Lacertidae
Exons: 3
Source: RefSeq, a predicted model, not a curated record
UUUUAUGCAUCAGCUGAUCAUUUUGGAUGCUAGCUAUAAUCAAUUUUAAUAAAUAAAACAAAAAACCCUGAAAACAGAUAAACAAAUUUAGACGGUAUUGGACAUACCGUGUGCUUCCCUGGUGUUUUCUAGAUUGCGGUAUUCACUACACAAACUUGAGGGGGGUAAGCUGCAAUCCCUUUCAUGGCAUUGCCUUUCCCCCUGUGAACUGAACCAGAUGCUGCAAUCCUCAUUAGAGGCCCUUCUGUGUGUGUCUCCUAAAGGAGAGGUCCAGACGGUGGCAACAUGAAAACAGGCCUUUUCUGCAAUGGCUCCCCACUUCUGGAAUGUUCUUUCCAGGGAGGAUUACCUGGUGCCAUCAUUAAAUAUACUUCGGUGCCAGGCAAAAAUACUAUUCUACUUGCAGGCCUUUUCAACUGUGGUGGGGUUUUGUUAUGUAUUUUUGUAUUUUUCUACUGGAAACCUUUUUGCGCUUGGAUAAAUGAUGGUUUAGAAAUUUAAUAAAUAAAAUUAUUAUUUUAAAAUGUAUUAUCAUUAAUACAUGUUUAUGUUUAAUUGUCUGUGCCAAUCACAACACUUAAAAACAAUAUGUUGUUUCAUUUGCAUUUCUGUUUCAGUGUCUUAAAUUUGUUAGUAUUGCCAUGUACUAUAGAUGCAAUUGGCUUAAUAGUUUUUCUGCACUUUUGGGAUAACAUUUCAGUCACUGAUUUUUGCUGUAGUGGCAUAUUAUUUUUUUAUUUAUUGUAUUUAUUCAAUUUGUGCACCACCCUAUACCUUUUGAUCUUAGGUCAGUUCACAACAUAAAACCACAAUGUAGAAAAAGCAAAGGUGACCAGGUAUCAGUGGGAAAGUAGGUCACAUUUCAAAUUUGAUGCAUUUCUUUUUGUUUCUGCCCUUCUUGAAGAAUGUGGGCAGUUGGGGCAUUUUUUGGGGGGGCAGUGACAUUUCCUUGCAAUGUCAUUUUCCCAAUUACAGCAGCCCUUCUGCCAGCUAAAAUUAGCCCUGAAAUGAGAAAGAUACAUCUAUACUUUAUGUUUCUGCUCCCAUCCAAUUCUAAUUAUUUCUUCUUCUUCUUCUUCUUCUUCUUCUUCUUCUUCUUCUUCUUCUUCUUCUUCUUCUUCUCCUCCUCCUCCUCCUCCUCCUCCUCCUCCUCCUCCUUUUUCUUCUCCCAUGUCACUUGUAGUUUUGCCUUUAACCUUAGCUCUCUAACAGUGGUUAAAACACUGCAUGUGACCUCAGAAUAUUUCUUGUUGAUAUUUCUAGUGAGCAAAAUACUCCAAUAAAAUUUAGGACUUACAGUAAGUGAAUGGCUACUGAAAAAUGGUAUCAUGAGAAUUCAUGCCAAGUAUGCAAUUUCCUUACUUAUUACUUUUACGCUGGAAUGAAAUACUGUUUCAGAGAUAUGCUGAUGCUGAAAUAUUCAGUAAGUUGAAUUAUUCCCAUCAUUAUUAUCUGUUUAAUAUAUAUUACCUAAGGCAAUAAGAUGGUGUUGCUUCAGCUUUCUGACUUACCAUAUGAUUUAGUAAAGCCCGAAGUUGUCACAACUAAUUUGAUUAACAUUUUUAUGCAAAAUUAUUUGCAGACUGCUAUCUUGGCUGGCAACUCAAAUUCCUUAAGCGUCAUACAGGCUCUGUUAAACUGACAAAGGAGUUUCUCUGGAGUUCACUCAUCCUCUUCAAGCGGCUGUGUGCCACUUGAGUACAUUGUGGCAAGUUUUUGUGGCGAGAACACAAAUAUCAAACCCAUCCUUGUACACUGAAGUGCUGCACCAGUGAACCCUGCAGCCUCCAGGGCCCAGUGCACACUUUGCACCUCUGUUUUGUGCUCCACCAGAUGUCUUACAAACCUCAUUCCCACCAGAAACCAAGAACAUUCGCUCUGUUAAUAUAUAGAGAAAAGGAGAUGGGCCUACAGUGAACAAGAGAGAAGGAAGAAGAGAUGUGCAAUAUCUGUACAGAUAAAUGAAUAAGCUGGAGCAGGUUGGAUGCUGGUCCAUCAGGCUGAACCCUAGUAACAAAGAUACCCUAUAAGUCAGAAGUAACAGAGGUUAGGAAACUAUAACCAAGAACUAGGCUAAAGGUUUGUAUAUGAACUAGGUGGACUGCAAUAAUUAAUAUGCCUAUGUGCUACACUAGCUGGAAUCCAGCCUACUUGCUGAAUAUUACAAGUUCUGUACUAGACAACAUCUACUUAUAAUUUAGAAAAAGAAGCCUGUGAUCAAAGCAACAGUUCAUUGCUGAAUUAAAUAUAUGUCAUGGUGGAUUCUUAUUUUCAGUGUUAUGGAUCAGAAAGCAGGACCUCUGAAUCCCUACUGCACAUAUGUAUGUUCUCCCUGUAGUGAUUUGGAUCUCUGCCACAAAACACGACCUCCUGCCUUAUCUUGCCUAUGGCCUUAUCUUGCCUAUCUGCCUCCAUAACAUCAACUGUUUUUACAAAAGAGUCUUUAAGAAUGAAGAGCUAUGGAUCUGCACUGAAUCUGCUUCCACGAAAGGUUUACAGCUCAUUCCUCUGAAGAAAGUGAUGUAGGAUGACUUUAAGCCAUGGUGUAGUGCAGGCAUAGGCAAACUCGGCCUCCAGAUGUUUUGGGACUACAACUCCCACCAUCCCUAGCUAACAGGACCAGUGGUCAGGGAUGAUGGGAGUUGUAGUCCCAAAACAUCUGGAGGGCCGAGUUUGCCUAUGCCUGGUUUAGUGUUAUAGGCAAACCAGUAAUUGUAGAGGAGAAAACUUGAAACCAGGCUGCCUCAUGUUUAUCAUAACAUCUAGUUCUACCAGAGGGGUUAGAUAGAAACGAUGCAAGCAUAAUUUGUAAAUAUGUGAAAUGUCAAAACAACUGAUAAAGAAUUUAACUAUGCUAUCGUAAGACAAAUUAAAAAUAGGCAGUAUGGCAUUUUAGCUACUUUAGAAAUAAGGUAAAAAUCAGUACAUUUAUCAAUGCUUUAGCACUGAUUGAUGAUUUUUAUAUGCUAAAUGAUUGCUCCUAUUAACAUUUUUGCUAAAAUAGUAUGAGAUCUUGCUUAGUGUAGAGCUAGUGGAAUGCAUCUUAGUCAGAAUUCAUAAACUAACAGCCUAGCAAACUGUUCUUGACAGUGAAUACAUUCCAAAAUAUAUCAUAUUGCUUAUUCAUGCUAUUUAUUACAUUGCUGCUUAUUUGAGUUCAAAAUCCAUAGAAAAAAACAUUUAUAAUGGUUCUAUAAACAUCUAAAACUUCAUCUAUAUAUAAAUGUUCAGAAGUUAUUGUGGUUCUCCUAUAACUACAAAUUUCU